RNAcentral lists this small nucleolar RNA (223 nucleotides) under Pollicipes pollicipes. RNAcentral's name for it is "small nucleolar RNA SNORA53". It matches the Rfam family "Small nucleolar RNA SNORA53". From Rfam's summary of the family: The snoRNA ACA53 belongs to the H/ACA family of pseudouridylation guide snoRNAs. The record is from RNAcentral. Lineage: Eukaryota; Metazoa; Arthropoda; Thecostraca; Pollicipedomorpha; Pollicipedidae.
AACACGGUCCUUAGAUCCUCCAGCCGGGGCGCAAGCCCACCAACCUGACCGGUUGGCGAUGGCUGGAGCAUGAGUCAUUGCCGUGUGACAUCAGUAUACCUGAGCGGCGGCCACAGUUGCGCCCCGCCCCGUCCGCGGCCGGCCCCGUGUUUUUAUUAAAUGGUCGGCCAAAGGACGCCAGUGGGCGCCAUGUGGGGCCAGCGCUCGCCGCCGCUCGGACACA